Long non-coding RNA from Myotis brandtii (Brandt's bat), 417 nucleotides. RefSeq lists it as uncharacterized. Lineage: Eukaryota; Metazoa; Chordata; Mammalia; Chiroptera; Vespertilionidae. The record is from RefSeq and is a predicted model, not a curated record. The transcript is spliced from 3 exons.
CAGCAGAGGAGGAAGUGGUGUGCAGCGGCCUGGGUCUGAGCGAGGGCAGUUCUCAGGGACCUGGUCUCAGUGCCCGGGCUCCAGGAGCGUGGCCGUACUAUCAUCUGGUGGCAUUAUUCCAUGUUUAUAUUCCAUGGAGAUCUAGAUCUUGAUUUGGAAGUUUAUGACAAAAUGAUCAGCAUCUGACUUGACAUCAAUAUUACCAGUGAAGGAUUGUAUUUUGAGGCCUAUGAAUAUUGCUAUAUAUACAUCUACUCCAUUGCUGCUCAUGGUCUGUUACAGUGUGCCUAGAACACAAUUUACUUAUAUUCUCUGCCAUGGAAGGACUUCCACAUUAUCUCAGCACGAGCAAGGCUCUGUGAACAACCUAGACAUGCCCCCUGUUGGAAAAUGCCAAAGGACAUUUAUUUAGGAUCU